This 68-nucleotide transfer RNA is filed under the name Lepyrus sp. G312. Its description in RNAcentral is "tRNA-Arg". The record is from RNAcentral. Lineage: Eukaryota; Metazoa; Arthropoda; Insecta; Coleoptera; Curculionidae.
AAGUAAGAAGCAAUCUUCAUGCAUUUAGUUUCGACCUAAAAAUUUGAUACCAAAAUAUCCUUACUUUU